UGACUGAAAUUCUCCCCAGCUGUGAUUUAUGAUCUGUUUAUAUACAGUCUGCCAGACCAUACUGCCAUAAAGCCUUCAAGAUUCCCAGAACCUUGGACUUUGCAUCCUUCUUCGGAUAGGAUUCUAAUUCUAGUGCCCCUACCUCAUUUUAGAAGUAACAGAAGAGAAGACACAGUCAAAUUCAAGCUUCAAAGGGGAGGUGUGGGCAUUAAUAUUGAAAAUAAUUGGACACAUGCUUGGCUAGUCAGAUGGAGUUUUUCCUCUGCCCUAUUUAUUUUGUACCACCAACACCCUAGAUAGAAGUUUCCCUGCAUGGGGAAUGGAGUGAAGAGAAUUCACAGGCGAGUGAGAGAACUGGAUUGUUCAGAAAUAGUAAGCCUGUACAAUUUUAUCAAGAAUUUACAGUCUAAACUGAAUUCUUAAAAGGUAUAAUGCUACUAGAAUCCUACAGCAUGCUCUGUGACCCAUAUUUCCUGCAGAAUGAUAUUUCAGUUAAUUCUACGGAGAAAUGUCUUUUAAAGCUCUUAUAUGAAAUGAUACAGUUCUCAUAUCACAAAUUUAAAUGUUCAAGAAAUGUAAUUUCUCAUCUUAUCCAGAGUUUUAUCUAAAUGUCUAAAAUGUAGAGAAUGCCAGGCCAGAGUAAAGUUGAGGAAUUUAGGAGCAGGGAAUAGGUGAAGAGGAACUGGGAAGAGGCUAAAAUGAAGCAUUUAGGCCUCCUCAUUCCUUUCUAAUCUCAAAGUGUCAGUCCAGAGUUUGUGGCUCCAUACUCCUUAUCUUGGCUGUAAGAUAACUCCUGGACUAGCUUCUCCCAGCUGCAUAUGAAUGUCUAAAUGCUUAGGACUGUGUCAAGAUUGAUGCUUACCCACAUUUUUUCCAAGAAUGGAGGAGUGAUCAACUAAGCAAACAUUUGGUUAAUGAUUAAGCUAAUACCUUGGUAAAUAAAUAUGGUAAAUAAGUAUCUGGAAGAAACAUAGAAAAUGUCCUCCUCACCCAGGAUAAAGGAUUACUUAAUUCAUUGAUUAAUUCAAUUGUUUGCAUUUUCAGUAAAUACAUAUUGAGAUUUGUUUUAAUGUGCAAAAAAUUGUCAAGCUCUUUUAUUUUUUCAAUAAUAAAAAAAUACAACCUUUGAUCACAAAGAGAUGACAUA
RNAcentral lists this long non-coding RNA (1147 nucleotides) under Homo sapiens (human). RNAcentral's name for it is "HSALNT0142093". Lineage: Eukaryota; Metazoa; Chordata; Mammalia; Primates; Hominidae. The record is from RNAcentral.